RNAcentral lists this ribosomal RNA (252 nucleotides) under uncultured bacterium. Its description in RNAcentral is "partial 16S ribosomal RNA". It matches the Rfam family "Bacterial small subunit ribosomal RNA", at positions 524 to 776 of the family's 1533-position model. The record is from RNAcentral.
UACGUAAGGACCGAGCGUUGUCCGGAAUCAUUGGGCGUAAAGGGUACGUAGGCGGGUCACUAAGUUAGAAGUCAAAGGCUAUAGCUCAACUAUAGUAAGCUUCUAAAACUGGAGACCUUGAGUAAUGGAAGGGAAAGUGGAAUUCCUAGUGUAGCGGUGGAAUGCGCAGAUAUUAGGAGGAAUACCGGUGGCGAAGGCGACUUUCUGGCCAUUAACUGACGCUGAGGUACGAAAGCGUGGGUAGCAAACAGG